AAGGGAGCUUGCUCCCGGAUGUUAGCGGCGGACGGGUGAGUAACACGUGGGUAACCUGCCUGUAAGACUGGGAUAACUCCGGGAAACCGGAGCUAAUACCGGAUAGUUCCUUGAACCGCAUGGUUCAAGGAUGAAAGACGGUUUCGGCUGUCACUUACAGAUGGACCCGCGGCGCAUUAGCUAGUUGGUGAGGUAACGGCUCACCAAGGCGACGAUGCGUAGCCGACCUGAGAGGGUGAUCGGCCACACUGGGACUGAGACACGGCCCAGACUCCUACGGGAGGCAGCAGUAGGGAAUCUUCCGCAAUGGACGAAAGUCUGACGGAGCAACGCCGCGUGAGUGAUGAAGGUUUUCGGAUCGUAAAGCUCUGUUGUUAGGGAAGAACAAGUGCAAGAGUAACUGCUUGCACCUUGACGGUACCUAACCAGAAAGCCACGGCUAACUACGUGCCAGCAGCCGCGGUAAUACGUAGGUGGCAAGCGUUGUCCGGAAUUAUUGGGCGUAAAGGGCUCGCAGGCGGUUUCUUAAGUCUGAUGUGAAAGCCCCCGGCUCAACCGGGGAGGGUCAUUGGAAACUGGGAAACUUGAGUGCAGAAGAGGAGAGUGGAAUUCCACGUGUAGCGGUGAAAUGCGUAGAGAUGUGGAGGAACACCAGUGGCGAAGGCGACUCUCUGGUCUGUAACUGACGCUGAGGAGCGAAAGCGUGGGGAGCGAACAGGAUUAGAUACCCUGGUAGUCCACGCCGUAAACGAUGAGUGCUAAGUGUUAGGGGGUUUCCGCCCCUUAGUGCUGCAGCUAACGCAUUAAGCACUCCGCCUGGGGAGUACGGUCGCAAGACUGAAACUCAAAGGAAUUGACGGGGGCCCGCACAAGCGGUGGAGCAUGUGGUUUAAUUCGAAGCAACGCGAAGAACCUUACCAGGUCUUGACAUCCUCUGACAACCCUAGAGAUAGGGCUUUCCCUUCGGGGACAGAGUGACAGGUGGUGCAUGGUUGUCGUCAGCUCGUGUCGUGAGAUGUUGGGUUAAGUCCCGCAACGAGCGCAACCCUUGAUCUUAGUUGCCAGCAUUCAGUUGGGCACUCUAAGGUGACUGCCGGUGACAAACCGGAGGAAGGUGGGGAUGACGUCAAAUCAUCAUGCCCCUUAUGACCUGGGCUACACACGUGCUACAAUGGACAGAACAAAGGGCUGCGAGACCGCAAGGUUUAGCCAAUCCCACAAAUCUGUUCUCAGUUCGGAUCGCAGUCUGCAACUCGA
This 1257-nucleotide ribosomal RNA is filed under the name Bacillus sp. L7b. RNAcentral's name for it is "bacterial SSU rRNA". It matches the Rfam family "Bacterial small subunit ribosomal RNA", at positions 72 to 1315 of the family's 1533-position model. Lineage: Bacteria; Bacillati; Bacillota; Bacilli; Caryophanales; Bacillaceae. The record is from RNAcentral.